GGUGGAGUAGUGUAGAGGUUAGCACACCGGACCGGACAUUAGGAGUCCCAGAGUUCAAAUCCUGGCUGCGCCG
Molecule: non-coding RNA, 73 nt
Organism: Ixodes scapularis (black-legged tick)
Lineage: Eukaryota; Metazoa; Arthropoda; Arachnida; Ixodida; Ixodidae
Source: Rfam